This is a non-coding RNA of Pluteus cervinus, 95 nucleotides long. Lineage: Eukaryota; Fungi; Basidiomycota; Agaricomycetes; Agaricales; Pluteaceae. The record is from the annotation of a GenBank genome assembly.
ACACCGGUGGUGAAGUGGAAUCAUAAUAGCUGUGAGUCGCGGGUUGUACUUGCGGCCCACGACUAGAGUCGAGGGUUCGAAUCCUUCCCAGUGUU